This 429-nucleotide ribosomal RNA is filed under the name Acidobacteriota bacterium. Its description in RNAcentral is "Acidobacteria bacterium partial 16S ribosomal RNA". It matches the Rfam family "Bacterial small subunit ribosomal RNA", at positions 355 to 776 of the family's 1533-position model. Lineage: Bacteria; Pseudomonadati; Acidobacteriota. The record is from RNAcentral.
UGGGGAAUGUUGGACAAUGGGGGAAACCCUGAUCCAGCCAUCCCGCGUGUGUGAUGAAGGCCUUCGGGUUGUAAAGCACUUUUGGCUGGAAAGAAACGUCAUGGGUUAAUACCCCGUGAAACUGACGGUACCUGCAGAAUAAGCACCGGCUAACUACGUGCCAGCAGCCGCGGUAAUACGUAGGGUGCAAGCGUUAAUCGGAAUUACUGGGCGUAAAGCGUGCGCAGGCGGUUCGGAAAGAAAGAUGUGAAAUCCCAGAGCUCAACUUUGGAACUGCAUUUUUAACUACCGGGCUAGAGUGUGUCAGAGGGAGGUGGAAUUGCGCGUGUAGCAGUGAAAUGCGUAGAUGUGCGGAGGAACACCGAUGGGGAAGGCAGCCUCCUGGGAUAACACUGACGCUCAUGCACGAAAGCGUGGGGAGCAAACAGG